RNAcentral lists this ribosomal RNA (460 nucleotides) under uncultured bacterium. RNAcentral's name for it is "partial 16S ribosomal RNA". It matches the Rfam family "Bacterial small subunit ribosomal RNA", at positions 338 to 795 of the family's 1533-position model. The record is from RNAcentral.
CCUACGGGAGGCAGCAGUGAGGAAUAUUGGUCAAUGGGCUUACGCCUGAACCAGCCAAGCCGCGUGAGGGAAGACUGCCCUAUGGGUUGUAAACCUCUUUUGCCAGGGAGCAACGCCGGCUACGUGUAGCCGGACUGAGAGUACCUGAAGAAAAAGCAUCGGCUAACUCCGUGCCAGCAGCCGCGGUAAUACGGAGGAUGCGAGCGUUAUCGGGAUUUAUUGGGUUUAAAGGGUGCGUAGGCGGAAUGCCAAGUCAGCGGUAAAAUCGCGGGGCUCAACCUCGCUCCGCCGUUGAUACUGGCGUGCUGGAGUGGGCGAGAGGUAUGCGGAAUGCGAGGUGUAGCGGUGAAAUGCGUAGAGAUCACGCAGAACUCCGGUUGCGAAGGCAGCAUACCGGCGCCCAACUGACGCUGAAGUGCGAAAGCGUGGGUAUCGAACAGGAUUAGAUACCCCUGUAGUC